UUCCCAGGCUAGGGGUCAAAUCAGAGCUGCAGCCGGUCUACACCACAGCCACAGCAACACGGGAGAUCCGAACAGCAUCUGCGACCUACACCGCAGCUCAGGGCAAUGCCGGAUCCUUAACCCACUCAGAGAGACCAGGGAUUGAACUCACGUGCUCGUGAAUCCCAGUCAGGUUCGUUACCACUGAGCCAUGAUGGGAACUCCUGCAGUCAGAUUCUUAACCCACUGUGCUGCAGCAAGAAUUCCAAUUCUUAUUUCUUUUUAAUGCGGCUCUAAUUACUGUAGAAAUGAAACUUGAAAGCAAUGAUGGAAAAGUUUAGGGAUCUGAUAAAAAAGAAAUUCAUCUCCUGAGACUUUAAGACAUUUUCCUCUACUGGAUAACUUUCUCCAGCGUGGCCUUUUCUCGACUGAAUUAUAGUCAAUAAUUCCAUACCCCAUUAAAUAAUUCUUCGGCUCUUAUCGUGUGUCAAGAGCACUAUGUGGAAUACAAAGACCAGACUCAUCUUUCGUCCUUGUGAGGACCCCAGUCUGCUCAAGGGAAGAGGCCGUAGAUCGAUUGUGGGGAACCAAGUAACUUCUGGGGAGCUCCCGUUGCGGUUCAGUGGGUAAAGGGCCCAGCUAAUAUCCAAGAGGAGGCAGGUUUGAUCCCUGGCCUUGCUCAGUGGGUUAAGGAUCCGGUGUUGCCCUGAGCUGUGGUGUAGGUCACAGAUGUGGCUCAGGUCUGGCAUUGCUGUGGCUGUGGUGUAGGCCUACAGCUGUUGCUCUGAUUCAACCCCUCACCUGGGAACUUCAUAUGCUGCAAAUGGAAGGCCCUAAAAAGCAAAAAAAAAAAAGGAAAAAAAAAAAAAAAAAGAAAGAAAAGGAAAAGGAACUUCUGGACACAAACUCGACCAGGACAACCCAUGAUUCGAGCACCACCCUCGCUGGACUCUCACCGCUGCCAUGACUGACCAACAUCUGCCAGGAACGGAUUUGGUCAGAGCUGAGUGCUUCGGAUGAAUGGAUCGGAUUUAUCUCUGUUUCAGAAGAACAGGCGCAAGGCGGGUAAAUCACGUGUCCGAGGUCACAGAGCUGGUCGGGGGGAGAGACGGAGCUGACGCCGCGUCUGGAUGACUCCAGAGCUAGAGUCACGUCGUCACAGACCCUCGGGACAGCAAGAGCCUCCCCAGAAAAGCGCGGGACUCGUGACUCUCUCCCUCCUUCCAAAGCUGAGCCCUAAAUGACCUGUGUUUAAGGUGUGCCUGGGGCCACGGGCAUCAGCUUUCAAAUCUUGACUUUCUUCCCCUCCCGUCAACAUGAGCAGUCACGUUGGUCCGUGACUGAACAGUGCCUCACGAGGUUAGAGUCUGGCUUACAAACUGGCAGCUCAAUUGGCAUCCUGGCAUUUAUUGGGGCCACAUGGAGCCCGAGGUACCAAGGGAUGGGAGUACAUUUGGGCCUCAAUAGCACGCUCUGACUAAACCAAUAUUUGCACCAUCUCGGUACUAACUGCCCGACAGCAGGGACACCUGCAGAGGACUAAACGCGAGCCGUGUCCGGAUCCAGAGCCGAGUCCUCCGCAAACGGCACAUGGCCGUGCCCCACAGUCACCGUGUGGAGGACAGCUUCCUCCCAUCCCCUGCCUCGCAGGACUGCUCACGUGGCACAGGAGACGACUAAUGCCACGGGCGGACCGCCGAGAGCCCUGCAAGAGAGACAGCGCCGCCCGUCAGUGGGCGAGAUGCUGACGAGGAAGAUGGUGGUGAUGGAUCGGCUGUGACCAGGGACACGCGCUGUCACAGAGAAAGGCUCCCGGCAGUUGAGACCGAAUGGAUCUCUAGACCACACAUUUCCUUGAUUUAUGCUUUCAAAUUGUGUGCUCUUAGGAUCAUUUGAAGUCACUAGAGACACUAAUGAAUGAUGCUAGAUUCUGUCCUAAUAUCACCAAAGGGCAAGAGAGAUGCUUAGGUUGUUUUUGUUUUGUUUUACAGCUGCACCUGGAACUGGCAUAUGGACGUUCCUGGGUUAGGGGCUGAACUGGAGCUGCAGCCGAGGUCUAAGCCACAGCCACAGCAACACCAGAGAGGAGCCAUGCAGCUUUCGGCAACACAGGACCCUUAACCCACGGAGCGAGGCCAGGGAUCAAACCCGCAUCCUCACAGAGACAUCGGGUCCUUGACCCACUGAGCCACAAUGGCAACUCCAGAUUUUUUUUGAGUCCCCACCAUUCGCCACUCCUGGGCGGGAUGGGGACCAGCCGGCCAUGGCCUUUGACCUGUGCCAUUUCCGGUCUGUCCAGCACUACAGAGAAACUCUAACGAGCGGGUCACACAGAUACCCCUGAAGUUAAAGUCUGAGAUGUCCUCUGGAGGAAAGGGACUUAGGGCCGGAAGAUGAUGCGACAAGGGAGCUGACCCAGCUCUGGGUCAGGAAGGCCCUCUGGGGGAGUUAUAUUUGAGACGAGAUCAGGAGAUGGAGAAGUUGGCCAGGCCACCGUGGGGAGAGGUGGCGGGCGUUAGAGAAAGGGGCGAGGCCUGAAAAUAAUAUGUUAUUCCCCAAAUAUGAAAGCAAAACUGCAAAGUCGAUGUUUCAUAAAUGCAAAUAAAAUAAAACACAUUGCUAACUGUCUUAGAGCCAAGCACUCAUAGAUCUUUCACUUUGGGAAAAAAAUGCGUAGGUUUAGAUGCUUUCAUUUGAUGAGACUCCUCAAGCACAUGGAAGACGGCUGAGAAAUCACAGGCAUUCAAAUUAAAGCAGUCACGCAGGGUCAAUUUCAAAAUUAUUUGAGAUAUGAAAAACUUUAAAAUACUUUUUCUACUAAAAAUAUUUAAUACAUCAUGUGGGUGGACAUUAAUGUUUGAUAUAUGAGCUGGGAGCCUUCAAAAUAAAAAUAUGGGCCUCCAAGGCUUGACACAGCUGGAGGACACCGGUGCCGCCCAAGCUCAAGGGUCGGGGUGGGGGUUGGUAGAGGGAGGGGGAUGGGGAGGCUGGGAGGUGGGAAGGGCAGGGCCAGGUCACGCAGAAGGAUCCAGGUUUUAUUCUUUUUUUUUUUUUAAGGGCCGCACCCACGGCAUUUGGAAUUUCCCAGGCUAGGGGUCGAAUCAGAGCUACAGCUGCCAGCCUACCCACAGCCACAGCAAUGCCAGAUCUGAGCCACAUUUGCAAUCUACACUGCAGCUCAAGGCAAUGCUGGAUCCUUAACCCACUGAGCGAGGCCAGGGAUCGCAUUCUCAUGGAUCCUAGUCCAUGAUGAACAAACUCCUGCAUCUGGCCUGGGGCUGCUGAGCACAGGUGCACAUGUUGCAUACUGCACAAGAGCAUCUGGGAGGGGGGGAGAGCAAGGGCUGAAACCCAACCCUGCUCCUCCCACCCUGCUGUGCAUUCCCACCUAUAAUCUACACAAGGCCUUGCUAGCAGCAGCCCCGCCCUCUCUGGGUUCAGCCUGGCCGUGGUCCCCAGCACCACACCCACAAUGGGCUCUUACUGGUCUCCAGCAAUGGAGCGCUAGCUUCUCUGCCUUUGGGAGAACUCUGUCCCCCAAAGCAGUUUGCAGCUCUCCUCCCCUUCCUUCCACGUCCCCAUGUGGGACAUGGGUCUUC
RNAcentral lists this long non-coding RNA (3578 nucleotides) under Sus scrofa (pig). RNAcentral's name for it is "lncRNA (ENSSSCG00000060766.1)". The record is from RNAcentral. Lineage: Eukaryota; Metazoa; Chordata; Mammalia; Artiodactyla; Suidae.